This 513-nucleotide ribosomal RNA is filed under the name uncultured bacterium. RNAcentral's name for it is "partial 16S ribosomal RNA". It matches the Rfam family "Bacterial small subunit ribosomal RNA", at positions 28 to 523 of the family's 1533-position model. The record is from RNAcentral.
GAUGAACGCUGGCGGCGUGCCUAAUACAUGCAAGUCGAACGCACAGCGAAAGGUGCUUGCACCUUUCAAGUGAGUGGCGAACGGGUGAGUAACACGUGGACAACCUGCCUCAAGCCUGGGGAUAACAGCUGGAAACAGAUGCUAAUACCGAAUAAAACUCAGUGUCGCAUGACACAAGGUUAAAAGGAGCUUUGACGUCACCUAGAGAUGGAUCCGCGGUGCAUUAGUUAGUUGGUGGGGGAAAGGCCUACCAAGACAAUGAUGCAUAGCGGAGUUGAGAGACUGACCGGCCACAUUGGGACUGAGACACGGCCCAAACGCCUACGGGAGGCUGCAGUAGGGAAUCUUCCACCAUGGGCGAAAGCCUGAUGGAGCAACGACGCGUGUGUGAUGAAGGCUUUGGGGUCGUAAAGCACUGUUGUAUGGGAAGAACAGCUAGAAUAGGGAAUGAUUUUAGUUUGACGGUACCAUACCAGAAAGGGACGGCUAAAUACGUGCCAGCAGCCGCCGUAA